RNAcentral lists this ribosomal RNA (348 nucleotides) under uncultured bacterium. RNAcentral describes it as "bacterial LSU rRNA". It matches the Rfam family "Bacterial large subunit ribosomal RNA", at positions 114 to 485 of the family's 2925-position model. The record is from RNAcentral.
CUGAAUGGGGCAACCCGGCAUGUUGAAGACAUGUCACCGAAAGGAGCAAACCCGGAGAACUGAAACAUCUAAGUACCCGGAGGAAUAGAAAACAAUAGUGAUUCCCCUAGUAGCGGCGAGCGAACGGGGACCAGCCCAAACCAACAUUGUUUCGGCAUUGUUGGGGUUGUAGGACGGACAUAAUCCGACUCAAAGUCUGCAGAACCAACUGGAAAGUUGGGCCACAGCGGGUGAUAGCCCCGUAUGCAGGUAGAGAAGAGGUGGACCGGAUCCUGAGUAGCGCGGAACAUGUGAAAUUCUGUGUGAAUCUGCCAGAACCAUCUGGUAAGGCUAAAUAUGUGAGAGACC